This 118-nucleotide ribosomal RNA is filed under the name Diaphorina citri (Asian citrus psyllid). The record is from RNAcentral. Lineage: Eukaryota; Metazoa; Arthropoda; Insecta; Hemiptera; Psyllidae.
GCCAGCGGCGAUAGCAGGUUGAAUGAACCAGUUCCCCGUGAAUCACUGAAGUUAAGCAACGCUGCGCGUGGUUAGUGUCCGGAUGGGUGACCAUCUAGGCAAUUGCUUGCUGCUGGCA